This 698-nucleotide ribosomal RNA is filed under the name uncultured bacterium. Its description in RNAcentral is "bacterial SSU rRNA". It matches the Rfam family "Bacterial small subunit ribosomal RNA", at positions 94 to 789 of the family's 1533-position model. The record is from RNAcentral.
AGUGGCGGACGGGUGAGUAACGCGUAGGAAUCUACCUGAUAGUGGGGGAUAGCCCGAAAAAAUUCGGAUUAAUACCGCAUAAUCUAUUCGUAGUAAAGUGGGGGACUUUCGAGCCUCACGCUAUCAGAUGACCCUGCGUAAGAUUAGCUAGUUGGUAGGGUAAAAGCCUACCAAGGCUACGAUCUUUAGCUGGUCUGAGAGGAUGAUCAGCCACAUCGGGACUGAGACACGGCCCGAACUCCUACGGGAGGCAGCAGUGGGGAAUAUUGGACAAUGGGGGCAACCCUGAUCCAGCAAUACCGCGUGUGUGAAGAAGGCCUGAGGGUUGUAAAGCACUUUCAAUUGUGAAGAAAAGCUAGUGGUUAAUAGCCAUUAGCCUUGACGUUAACUUUAGAAGAANCACCGGCUAACUCCGUGCCAGCAGCCGCGGUAAUACGGAGGGUGCAAGCGUUAAUCGGAAUUACUGGGCGUAAAGCGUGCGUAGGCGGUUUAUUAAGUCAGAUGUGAAAGCCCCGGGCUUAACCUGGAACUGCAUUUGAAACUGGUCAACUAGAGUAUGGUAGAGGAAAGUGGAAUUUCUGGUGUAGCGGUGAAAUGCGUAGAUAUCAGAAGGAACAUCAAUGGCGAAGGCAACUUUCUGGACCAAUACUGACGCUGAGGUACGAAAGCGUGGAUAGCAAACAGGAUUAGAUACCCUG